This 796-nucleotide long non-coding RNA is filed under the name Hordeum vulgare. RNAcentral's name for it is "long non-coding RNA (HVUL_LNC007315)". The record is from RNAcentral. Lineage: Eukaryota; Viridiplantae; Streptophyta; Magnoliopsida; Poales; Poaceae.
UAUAGUAUAGGAGUUGAACAAAUCAAAGACUCACUCGAUGGAAAGAUGAAAGACUUGAUUGGUGGAUAGAUUGAAGUCUUGACCUUUUGGGAACAAGAUGUUCACCUGGCAUGAAUUGGCAGUACAUAUAUAAGCAUCACACAAACAUCUAUAAAUCAGAUUAUGCAUGUAACUUGUUUUCAAUUACUUAUAAUUUAACAAGUUAAUAGAGAAGUUGCAGGAGGAACUGAAGAAAAUUUUGGAUUUGUGUAGUACUAAUCUAGUAAAAGCAUAGAAUCAGGAAAAUAAAUGCAUGUCCUUGUAAGAUUUAUGCCAGUAAUAUCUAUAGUGCAUAAUAUCACCAUGACUAUCCAUGGGAUUUUUAUAGAAGCAUAGGAUCAGCCUUUCUGACAAAAUUAGAAUAGUAGCACUUUUCAUGAAAGCACUACUGAUUAUCAAUGGCCUUUUUAUUUUCUAUCCUAGCAAAAAAGUUUGGUAGGUGUUUGCAAAGGAUAAACAUUUAUAAUGAUUUUCUAUUUCAAGUGUUAUGUGUGAACCAUAUAAAUUACUAUAUUCCAUGGAUCAUUGAUACACAACAAGCAUAUGACCUAAUAACUUCGAGUGAAAUCACAUACAACAAGCAUAUAGAUAACACAUACUCCACAAUUGAACUGUUAUACUCUACUAUAGAUCUACAAUAAAACAAGCCUAUGCUCUAAUCUCACUACAAACUCUCGAAACAAUUCAAACUAAUGCAACUACGACAUCAAUCUAUAAUUACACAAUAUGUACUGUACAUUGAUAUCCCACACCAUAC